Molecule: signal recognition particle RNA, 99 nt
Filed under: Alistipes sp.
Lineage: Bacteria; Pseudomonadati; Bacteroidota; Bacteroidia; Bacteroidales; Rikenellaceae
Description: signal recognition particle sRNA small type
Rfam family: Bacteroidales small SRP
About the family: The non-coding component of the signal recognition particle in Bacteroides
Source: RNAcentral
GGGUAAGUCUUAUACGACCAGCUCCUGCAGAACUCCCCCAGGCAAGGAAUUGAGCAAGGGUAUGCGGUUGUAGCGGUGCGAUAUAAGUAGCUUACCCUU